GAGUUUGAUCAUGGCUCAGGAUGAACGCUGGCGGCGUGCUUAACACAUGCAAGUCGAACGAACCUUCGGGUUAGUGGCGGACGGGUGAGUAACGCGUGAGAAUCUGCCCUCAGGAGGGGGAUAACAGCUGGAAACGGCUGCUAAUACCCCAUAUGCCGCGAGGUGAAAUGAAUUUCGCCUGAGGAUGAGCUCGCGUCUGAUUAGCUAGUUGGUGUAGGUAAUGGCUCACCAAGGCAUCGAUCAGUAGCUGGUCUGAGAGGAUGAUCAGCCACACUGGGACUGAGACACGGCCCAGACUCCUACGGGGGGCAGCAGUGGGGAAUUUUCCGCGAUGGGCGAAAGCCUGACGGAGCAACGCCGCGUGAGGGAUGAAGGCCUCUGGGCUGUAAACCUCUUUUAUCAAGGAAGAAGAUCUGACGGUACUUGAUGAAUAAGCCACGGCUAAUUCCGUGCCAGCAGCCGCGGUAAUACGGGAGUGGCAAGCGUUAUCCGGAAUUAUUGGGCGUAAAGCGUCCGCAGGCGGCCCUUCAAGUCUGCUGUUAAAAAGUGGAGCUUAACUCCAUCAUGGCAGUGGAAACUGAGGGGCUUGAGUGUGGUAGGGGCAGAGGGAAUUCCCGGUGUAGCGGUGAAAUGCGUAGAUAUCGGGAAGAACACCAGUGGCGAAGGCGCUCUGCUGGGCCAUCACUGACGCUCAUGGACGAAAGCCAGGGGAGCGAAAGGGAUUAGAUACCCCUGUAGUCCUGGCCGUAAACGAUGAACACUAGGUGUCGGGGGAAUCGACCCCCUCGGUGUCGUAGCCAACGCGUUAAGUGUUCCGCCUGGGAAGUACGCACGCAAGUGUGAAACUCAAAGGAAUUGACGGGGGCCCGCACAAGCGGUGGAGUAUGUGGUUUAAUUCGAUGCAACGCGAAGAACCUUACCAGGGUUUGACAUCCUGCGAAUCUCUUGGAAACGAGAGAGUGCCUUCGGGAGCGCAGUGACAGGUGGUGCAUGGCUGUCGUCAGCUCGUGUCGUGAGAUGUUGGGUUAAGUCCCGCAACGAGCGCAACCCACGUCUUUAGUUGCCAGCAUUUAGUUGGGCACUCUAGAGAGACCGCCGGUGAUAAACCGGAGGAAGGUGUGGAUGACGUCAAGUCAUCAUGCCCCUUACAUCCUGGGCUACACACGUACUACAAUGCUACGGACAAAGGGCAGCAAGUUCGCGAGGACAAGCAAAUCCCAUAAACCGUGGCUCAGUUCAGAUCGUAGGCUGCAACUCGCCUACGUGAAGGAGGAAUCGCUAGUAAUCGCAGGUCAGCAUACUGCGGUGAAUACGUUCCCGGGCCUUGUACACACCGCCCGUCACACCAUGGAAGUUGGCCACGCCCGAAGCCGUUACUCCAACCCUUGUGGAGGAGGACGUCGAAGGUGGGGCUGAUGACUGGGGUGAAGUCGUAACAAGGUAACC
RNAcentral lists this ribosomal RNA (1446 nucleotides) under uncultured marine cyanobacterium. RNAcentral's name for it is "bacterial SSU rRNA". It matches the Rfam family "Bacterial small subunit ribosomal RNA". The record is from RNAcentral. Lineage: Bacteria; Bacillati; Cyanobacteriota.